This is a long non-coding RNA of Pseudopipra pipra, 1185 nucleotides long. RefSeq lists it as uncharacterized. The record is from RefSeq and is a predicted model, not a curated record. Lineage: Eukaryota; Metazoa; Chordata; Aves; Passeriformes; Pipridae. The transcript is spliced from 4 exons.
CAGGUCUUGUGGAUCACAUUUAUAGCAGUUGACAUUGCAGAAAAAGGAUGUUGGGUCUCUUCUUGAGUUCAGAAAGCUCCUUUUGGUUGGUGAGCAGGACAAAGUGGAUCCUUCAGAGUUCCCAUCCGUGUUUGUGUCUCAGCCUGUGUUAGGAUUCAGGGCUGUAGCUGUUGUUGUCACUGAGGAGUCAAACUCUGCUUUAAAUAAUGAGACAUUGGCCUGAUGGCCAAGUGUCAAGAAUAAAGGGGGAAUGAUAUCUGAGUGUUGAGAUGUAACAAGGGCUGAUCCUUUUUGCAGUGGGAUGUAGCCUGGAAAGUGCACAGAGCUGAGCCAAGGGAUUGAAAGGGACCAAGCAAGGGAGGUGAAGAAAGAAGGAAGAAGGAAGUGAGGCAGCAGGCAAGCAGCAGCAAGUUGCUGUGUAAGCAGUGGGAUGUACCCUAGAAACUCCAUGGAGCUGAGCCAAGGGAUUUAGAGGGACUAAGCAAGCGAAGUAAAGAAAGAAUGAAGAAGGGAACUGAGAGAGCAGCCAAGCAGCACCAAGUUCCUCUACAACCAGGGAAUAACUCCUGUCAGCAGCAAGGUCCUGACUGAAGUGGCAGCUGCAGUUGUUCCUGUGGUGUGGGCCAGUGGAACUGCAGGAGAGUGGAAGAGGGCAGAACCUGAUGUGAAUGCAAGAACCUGCCAAGAAAACCAAUGUCCAAGAUGAUUGAUGAGUGCAGGACCUGAGAGAACCCCCUUCAAUGACAACCUGAAGCAGUUUCCAGUGUUGGAUUUAAAAGAUGGCCUUUGCUGCAUCUACUUGAGCAAGGAAAGCCAAGAAACCUUUGCUUUGGCAGGAGAAAAUCUGGAAAGCAGGAAGGAAGAAAAGAAGCCCCCUGACUCCUCCUGAGCCCCAGACAGCCCAUGAACUGCCUUGCUGGGAAUGGUAGGACAGGAUGGACUCUGGAUUGCUCCCUCUGGAUGUGUGGUAAGACUGUUCUGCCAACUUUUCCAACAGCCUGUAAGCAUUUGCUGCCUUGGCUAGAUGGUGCAAGGGCAGCCUUUAAGCAGCUGAAGCAUUCCCUGAGGAGAGCUCUGGGUCUGCCAGAUGUCUCAGAAGUGUUGGAAGCAUCUUUGGUGGGGAGGGCAAACAAAGGCCAAGGUGUGCAGUGACCCCCCUGAGAAGGGACUUUGAGUUAAUGGCAU